Molecule: ribosomal RNA, 379 nt
Filed under: uncultured bacterium
Lineage: Bacteria
Description: bacterial SSU rRNA
Rfam family: Bacterial small subunit ribosomal RNA
Source: RNAcentral
AUUGAACGCUGGCGGCAUGCCUUACACAUGCAAGUCGAACGGUAACAGGUUAAGCUGACGAGUGGCGAACGGGUGAGUAAUAUAUCGGAACGUGCCCAGUAGUGGGGGAUAGCCCGGCGAAAGCCGGAUUAAUACCGCAUACGAUCUACGGAUGAAAGCAGGGGAUCGCAAGACCUUGCGCUAUCGGAGCGGCCGAUGUCAGAUUAGCUUGUUGGCGGGGUAAAAGCCCACCAAGGCGACGAUCUGUAGCUGGUCUGAGAGGACGACCAGCCACACUGGGACUGAGACACGGCCCAGACUCCUACGGGAGGCAGCAGUGGGGAAUUUUGGACAAUGGGCGCAAGCCUGAUCCAGCCAUGCCGCGUGCGGGAAGAAGGCC